AGCGAACGCUGGCGGCAGGCCUAACACAUGCAAGUCGAACGAACCUUUCGGGGUUAGUGGCGGACGGGUGAGUAACACGUGGGAACGUGCCUUUAGGUUCGGAAUAACUCAGGGAAACUUGUGCUAAUACCGAAUGUGCCCUUCGGGGGAAAGAUUAAUCGCCUUUAGAUCGGCCCGCGUCUGAUUAGCUAGUUGGUUGAGGUAAUGGCUCACCACGGCGACGAUCAGUAGCUGGUCUGAGAGGAUGAUCAGCCACAUUGGGACUGAGACACGGCCCAAACUCCUACGGGAGGCAGCAGUGGGGAAUCUUGCGCAAUGGGCGAAAGCCUGACGCAGCCAUGCCGCGUGAAUGAUGAAGGUCUUAGGAUUGUAAAAUUCUUUCACCGGGGACGAUAAUGACGGUACCCGGAGAAGAAGCCCCGGCUAACUUCGUG
This 434-nucleotide ribosomal RNA is filed under the name uncultured bacterium. RNAcentral describes it as "partial 16S ribosomal RNA". It matches the Rfam family "Bacterial small subunit ribosomal RNA", at positions 29 to 507 of the family's 1533-position model. The record is from RNAcentral.